UGGGGAAUUUUGGACAAUGGGGGCAACCCUGAUCCAGCAAUGCCGCGUGUGUGAAGAAGGCCUUCGGGUUGUAAAGCACUUUUGUCCGGGAAGAAAUCGCACCUGAUAAUACCGGGUGUGGAUGACGGUACCGGAAGAAUAAGGACCGGCUAACUACGUGCCAGCAGCCGCGGUAAUACGUAGGGUCCAAGCGUUAAUCGGAAUUACUGGGCGUAAAGCGUGCGCAGGCGGUUGUGCAAGACCGAUGUGAAAUCCCCGGGCUUAACCUGGGAAUUGCAUUGGUGACUGCACGGCUAGAGUGUGUCAGAGGGUGGUAGAAUUCCACAUGUAGCAGUGAAAUGCGUAGAGAUGUGGAGGAAUACCGAUGGCGAAGGCAGCCCCCUAGGAUAACACUGACGCUCAUGCACGAAAGCGUGGGGAGCAAACAGG
RNAcentral lists this ribosomal RNA (429 nucleotides) under Bacillota bacterium. RNAcentral describes it as "Firmicutes bacterium partial 16S ribosomal RNA". It matches the Rfam family "Bacterial small subunit ribosomal RNA", at positions 355 to 776 of the family's 1533-position model. The record is from RNAcentral. Lineage: Bacteria; Bacillati; Bacillota.